Vespula vulgaris is the source of this 529-nucleotide long non-coding RNA. RefSeq lists it as uncharacterized. The transcript is spliced from 3 exons. Lineage: Eukaryota; Metazoa; Arthropoda; Insecta; Hymenoptera; Vespidae. The record is from RefSeq and is a predicted model, not a curated record.
AUCUCUCCAUUGUCCUGUAUUUUGUUGAUCAUACGAAUGAGGUUUGUUUCCUACACCUACAUUACUAGGUCCACUACCAGCAGUUCCAUAUGUUUGAGUAGGAAUUGGUGUGUUCUUUUGAAGAGUUGAUGCUUCAUUUGAACAAGCAGGAGAAGAGACUCCAGGAGUACAACCAGAACCUGCACCCACAUUACCAGCAGGUCCACUUGGCAAAUUACCUUUAUUAGGUUGAUCUCUCCAUUGUCCUGUGUUUUGUUGGUCAUAUGAAUGAGGUUUAUUUCCUACACCUACAUUACUAGGUCCACUACCAGCAGUUCCAUAUGUUUGAGUAGGAAUUGGUGUGUUCUUUUGAAGAGUUGAUGCUUCAUUUGAACAAGCAGGAGAAGAGACUCCAGGCGUACAACCAGAACCUGCACCCACAUUACCAGCAGGUCCAUUUGGCAAAUUACCUUUAUUAGGUUGAUCUCUCCAUUGUCCUGUGUUUUGUUGGUCAUAUGAAUGAGGUUUAUUUCCUACACCUACAUUACUA